CAUGUUAGUGCAUUCAGGUGACAAACCUCAUGUGUGUCCAGAGUGUGGGAAGAGAUUUAGUCGUCUUGGUGAUAUGAAGAGGCACAAAAUGAUACAUGCAGAUAAUCGGCUAAACACUUACAGUGUGGAAGGAACACCACUUGAAUAUGGCGGGGCUUGUGUGGGUGUGGAUGCAAAGUGAUCUGGCCGCAGCGGUGCGACCCAUCGUGGCUGCAUUGAUUUACGUCCUGGAUGAUCCCGGAAGCGCCUUAGUCGGACCUUAGCAUGCAUCUUAGCCCGGACACAAGUUCGAACCCUCAUUACGGCCUUUGUGGAUUUGUUCAUGUAUCAUGAUAUUGUGAUUUCUGUAUCACAAGUGAUGUUCUUUUCCUUAAGAAUGUAUUCCAUGAUUUGUAUACAGAUAAAGGUUUGAUUGAUAACAGUUGUGUACCUCUACUUGUCUUGAUAAUAAACAAUAAAAAUA
Molecule: long non-coding RNA, 463 nt
Organism: Procambarus clarkii (red swamp crayfish)
Lineage: Eukaryota; Metazoa; Arthropoda; Malacostraca; Decapoda; Cambaridae
Source: RefSeq, a predicted model, not a curated record